This 497-nucleotide ribosomal RNA is filed under the name uncultured bacterium. Its description in RNAcentral is "partial 16S ribosomal RNA". It matches the Rfam family "Bacterial small subunit ribosomal RNA", at positions 28 to 507 of the family's 1533-position model. The record is from RNAcentral.
GAUGAACGCUGGCGGCGUGCCUAAUACAUGCAAGUCGAGCGAACGGACGAGAAGCUUGCUUUUCUGAUGUUAGCGGCGGGCGGGUGAGUAACACGUGGAUAACCUACCUAUAAGACUGGGAUAACUUCGGGAAACCGGAGCUAAUACCGGAUAAUAUUUUGAACCGCAUGGUUCAAAAGUGAAAGACGGUCUUGCUGUCACUUAUAGAUGGAUCCGCGCUGCAUUAGCUAGUUGGUAAGGUAACGGCUUACCAAGGCAACGAUGCAUAGCCGACCUGAGAGGGUGAUCGGCCACACUGGAACGGAGACACGGUCCAGACUCCUACGGGAGGCAGCAGUAGGGAAUCUUCCGCAAUGGGCGAAAGCCUGACGGAGCAACGCCGCGUGAGUGAUGAAGGUCUUCGGAUCGUAAAACUCUGUUAUUAGGGAAGAACAUAUGUGUAAGUAACUGUGCACAUCUUGACGGUACCUAAUCAGAAAGCCACGGCUAACUACGUG